Molecule: ribosomal RNA, 500 nt
Filed under: uncultured bacterium
Lineage: Bacteria
Description: partial 16S ribosomal RNA
Rfam family: Bacterial small subunit ribosomal RNA
Source: RNAcentral
AUUGAACGCUGGCGGCAUGCUUUACACAUGCAGGUCGAACGGCAGCGCGGGCUUCGGCCUGGCGGCGAGUGGCGAACGGGUGAGUAAUAUAGCGGAACGUACCCAGGAGUGGGGGAUCACGUAGCGAAAGUUACGCUAAUACCGCAUACGUCCUAAGGGAGAAAGCGGGGGAUCGCAAGACUUCGUACUCAUGGAGCGGCCAAUAUCUGAUUAGCUAGUUGGUGGGGUAAAGGCUCACCAAGGCAACGAACAGUAGCUGGUCUGAGCGGACGACCAGCCACACUGGAACUGAGACACGGUCCAGACUCCUACGGGAGGCAGCAGUGGGGAAUUUUGGACAAUGGGGGCAACCCUGAUCCAGCAAUGCCGCGUGAGUGAAGAAGGCCUUCGGGUUAUAAAGCUCUUUUGUCAGGGAAGAAACGACUCCUUCUAUUACAGGGAGUUAAUGACGGUACCUGAAGAAUAAGCACCGGCUAACUACGUGCCAGCAGCCGCAGUAA